Molecule: ribosomal RNA, 604 nt
Filed under: uncultured fungus
Lineage: Eukaryota; Fungi
Description: LSU rRNA
Rfam family: Eukaryotic large subunit ribosomal RNA
Source: RNAcentral
GCAUAUCAAUAAGCGGAGGAAAAGAAACCAACAGGGAUUGCCCUAGUAACGGCGAGUGAAGCGGCAACAGCUCAAAUUUGAAAUCUGGCUUUCGGGCCCGAGUUGUAAUUUGUAGAGGAUACUUUUGAUGCGGUGCCUUCCGAGUUCCCUGGAACGGGACGCCAUAGAGGGUGAGAGCCCCGUCUGGUUGGAUGCCAAAUCUCUGUAAAGUUCCUUCGACGAGUCGAGUAGUUUGGGAAUGCUGCUCUAAAUGGGAGGUUUAUGUCUUCUAAAGCUAAAUAUUGGCCAGAGACCGAUAGCGCACAAGUAGAGUGAUCGAAAGAUGAAAAGCACUUUGAAAAGAGAGUUAAAAAGUACGUGAAAUUGUUGAGAGGGAAGCGUUUAUGACCAGACUUGGACUUGGUUAAUCAUCUGGGGUUCUCCCCAGUGCACUUUUCCAGUUCAGGCCAGCAUCAGUUUUCGCCGGGGGAUAAAGGCUUCGGGAAUGUAGCUCUUCGGAGUGUUAUAGCCUGCCGCCGGCGCCGCGAGCGGGGACCGAGAACUGCGACUUUUGUCUCGGAUGCUGGCACAACGGCGCAACACCGCCCGUCUUGAAACACGGACC